RNAcentral lists this ribosomal RNA (497 nucleotides) under uncultured bacterium. RNAcentral's name for it is "partial 16S ribosomal RNA". It matches the Rfam family "Bacterial small subunit ribosomal RNA", at positions 28 to 507 of the family's 1533-position model. The record is from RNAcentral.
GAUGAACGCUGGCGGCGUGCCUAAUACAUGCAAGUCGAGCGAACGGACGAGAAGCUUGCUUCUCUGAUGUUAGCGGCGGACGGGUGAGUAACACGUGGAUAACCUACCUAUAAGACUGGGAUAACUUCGGGAAACCGGAGCUAAUACCGGAUAAUAUUUUGAACCGCAUGGUUCAAAAGUGAAAGACGGUCUUGCUGUCACUUAUAGAUGGAUCCGCGCUGCAUUAGCUAGUUGGUAAGGUAACGGCUUACCAAGGCAACGAUGCAUAGCCGACCUGAGAGGGUGAUCGGCGACACUGGAACUGAGACACGGUCCAGGCUCCUACGGGAGGCAGCAGUAGGGAAUCGUCCGCAAUGGGCGAAAGCCUGACGGAGCAGCGCCGCGUGAGUGAUGAAGGUCUUCGGAUCGUAAAACUCUGUUAUUAGGGAAGAACAUAUGUGUAAGUAACUGUGCACAUCGUGACGGUACCUGAUCAGGAAGCCACGGCUAACUACGUG